Molecule: ribosomal RNA, 388 nt
Filed under: uncultured bacterium
Lineage: Bacteria
Description: bacterial SSU rRNA
Rfam family: Bacterial small subunit ribosomal RNA
Source: RNAcentral
GACGAACGCUGGCGGCGUGCUUAACACAUGCAAGUCGAGCGGUAAGGCCCUUUCGGGGGUACACGAGCGGCGAACGGGUGAGUAACACGUGGGUGACCUGCCCUCAGCUCUGGGAUAAGCCUGGGAAACCGGGUCUAAUACUGGAUAUGACUCCAUGACGCAUGUUGUGGGGUGGAAAGCCUUGUGCGGCUGAGGAUGGGCCCGCGGCCUAUCAGCUUGUUGGUGGGGUGAGGCCUACCAAGGCGACGACGGGUAGCCGGCCUGAGAGGGCGACCGGCCACACUGGGACUGAGACACGGCCCAGACUCCUACGGGAGGCAGCAGUGGGGAAUCUUGCGCAAUGGGCGAAAAGCCUGACGCAGCGACGCCGCGUGAGGGAUGACGGCCU